This 329-nucleotide ribosomal RNA is filed under the name uncultured bacterium. RNAcentral describes it as "bacterial SSU rRNA". It matches the Rfam family "Bacterial small subunit ribosomal RNA", at positions 471 to 793 of the family's 1533-position model. The record is from RNAcentral.
GACGUUACCUACAGAAGAAGCACCGGCUAACUCCGUGCCAGCAGCCGCGGUAAUACGGAGGGUGCGAGCGUUAAUCGGAAUUACUGGGCGUAAAGCGCAUGCAGGCGGCCUGUUAAGUCAGAUGUGAAAGACCCGGGGCGUUAACCUCGGAAUUGCAUUUGAAACUGGCAGGCUAGAGUCUUGUAGAGGGGGGUAGGAAGUUUCAGGUGUAGCGGUGAAAUAGCGUAGAGAUCUGAAGGAAUACCAGUGGCGAAGGCGGCCCCCUCGGACAAAGACUGACGCUCAGAUGCGAAAGCGUGGGGAGCAAACAGGAUUAGAUACCCUGGUAG